GCGGCUCUCGCGCCUCUCCCGCUGUGCCCUUCUGCUGCGCCCCGGAUCGCCGGUAGAUGCGGGAGCCGGGUGAGGCUGGCCCCGCGGGUGGCCGCUCCGGGAGCAUGUCCGACGUGGCGGCAGAAAUCAGGAGCUUUGUGCAGAUAAAUGGUCACACCUGACUGAAAUGCCCAUGAAGACACCUCUUAGGAAUGAAGUGCCUCUGCUGGAAAAUGCCUAGAUGUACUUCAUAGAACUUGCAAGACACUUUGACAUGAAUCUCCUUGAAGAGUGACAAAUUCCCAGGGGGAAAAAAUGAACAAAACAUAAGAUUCAAACUUGCAGCUCCUGCUUUGAUGAAAGUGUAGUAGUGAUUACUGAUUUCAUCCAUGGUCAUUUAAUUGUUUUCUGUAAUGUAUCAUGUCUCAAAACAGUAAGAUAAGUAAUGGCUAGGACAGCACAACAAUUGGUAGCUUCAGUUUGCAUGGUUAAAGUUUUGACCCAGCUCAUGUUUCAGUUCUGAAAUGGAAUAAAACUAGUGUCAUUCAUCUUUGAAUUUACUUUGAAUAACAUAUUUGGGGAAUGUUUUUAUACUAUAUUCAACUAAUAAAGAAUUUUGUAGUACAAUG
Emys orbicularis (European pond turtle) is the source of this 608-nucleotide long non-coding RNA. RefSeq lists it as uncharacterized. The transcript is spliced from 4 exons. The record is from RefSeq and is a predicted model, not a curated record. NCBI's taxonomy places the organism in Eukaryota, Metazoa, Chordata, Testudines, Emydidae.